Ceratotherium simum simum (southern white rhinoceros) is the source of this 102-nucleotide non-coding RNA. The record is from RefSeq and is a predicted model, not a curated record. Lineage: Eukaryota; Metazoa; Chordata; Mammalia; Perissodactyla; Rhinocerotidae.
UCUUCAGAAAUGUAGAAAGAUUUGGCCAUAAGAGAGAAAUUUGGAAUCCAAUUUCAGCAAUAACCAACUAGCCUGAGAAAACCUCACAUUUGAUGCUUAGUU